GAUGAACGCUGGCGGCGUGCCUAAUACAUGCCAGUCGAGCGAACAGACGAGGAGCUUGCUCCUCUGACGUUAGCGGCGGACGGGUGAGUAACACGUGGAUAACCUACCUAUAAGACUGGGAUAACUUCGGGAAACCGGAGCUAAUACCGGAUAACAUGUUGAACCGCAUGGUUCAACAGUGAAAGACGGUCUUGCUGUCACUUAUAGAUGGAUCCGCGCCGCAUUAGCUAGUUGGUAAGGUAACGGCUUACCAAGGCAACGAUGCGUAGCCGACCUGAGAGGGUCAUCGGCCACACUGGAACUGAGACACGGUCCAGACUCCUACGGGAGGCAGCAGUAGGGAAUCUUCCGCAAUGGGCGAAAGCCUGACGGAGCAACGCCGCGUGAGUGAAGAAGGUCUUCGGAUCGUAAAACUCUGUUAUUAGGGAAGAACAAAUGUGUAAGUAACUAUGCACGUCUUGACGGUACCUAAUCAGAAAGCCACGGCUAACUACGUG
Molecule: ribosomal RNA, 497 nt
Filed under: uncultured bacterium
Lineage: Bacteria
Description: partial 16S ribosomal RNA
Rfam family: Bacterial small subunit ribosomal RNA
Source: RNAcentral